This 591-nucleotide long non-coding RNA is filed under the name Triticum aestivum (bread wheat). RNAcentral's name for it is "long non-coding RNA (TAES_LNC009209)". The record is from RNAcentral. Lineage: Eukaryota; Viridiplantae; Streptophyta; Magnoliopsida; Poales; Poaceae.
UGAAAGAUGGCUGCUCCACUCCGGGUAUGUUUGAUGCGAGCAUACAAAACCUUUGCCGUUGCGUCCCAACCUCUACUGUAUAUAUGUAGGUUUUCUAUUUCGCUGAACCUUACAUGUCUGCAAUUGGUUGACAAAGAGCACAAUUCUGUAUAUUUCCUAAUGCAAAUAACUAAAAGCAGGAAUGGAUAAAAUGUUGCCUGGCGAUCGGCGGUGGAGGGCCAACGGGAGCGGGAACGAAGUUCACAGGCGGUGGUGCCAUGACCCUCUUCGAGCCAGGACGGCCCAUCCUGGGUCCAAUCGGCAUGAGUGCUAAGACCCGAUUUCUCUUCUAACACGACUCAUGGUUCAGAACGCAAGGACGUAUAUUGACUGAUCUGACUAUUUUCAUUUUCAUUGGCGCCAAGUAAACCAUGGUGAUAGGAAAAAGGAAGUGAUUGAAAGAAGGAGAUUGAUCAACGUUUGAUUGAAAGAAGGAAGGAGAUUUAUCACCGUCAUGAAUGAAUUGAUUGCCAUGCAUGAAUUGAUUGCGUUUCGAUUGAUUGUUGAUUGAUUCCGCUUGGUUGCCUUAUGUGAAUUAUUUCUUUACCAAAG